GACGAACGCUGGCGGCGUGCUUAACACAUGCAAGUCGAACGAAGAGCGAUGGAAGCUUGCUUCUAUCAAUCUUAGUGGCGAACGGGUGAGUAACGCGUAAUCAACCUGCCCUUCAGAGGGGGACAACAGUUGGAAACGACUGCUAAUACCGCAUACGAUCUAAUCUUGGCAUCGAGGAUAGAUGAAAGGUGGCCUCUACAUGUAAGCUAUCACUGAAGGAGGGGAUUGCGUCUGAUUAGCUAGUUGGAGGGGUAACGGCCCACCAAGGCGAUGAUCAGUAGCCGGUCUGAGAGGAUGAACGGCCACAUUGGGACUGAGACACGGCCCAGACUCCUACGGGAGGCAGCAGUGGGGAAUCUUCCGCAAUGGACGAAAGUCUGACGGAGCAACGCCGCGUGAGUGAUGACGGCCUUCGGGUUGUAAAGCUCUGUUAAUCGGGACGAAAGGCCUUCUUGCGAA
This 459-nucleotide ribosomal RNA is filed under the name Veillonella parvula. RNAcentral describes it as "bacterial SSU rRNA". It matches the Rfam family "Bacterial small subunit ribosomal RNA", at positions 28 to 464 of the family's 1533-position model. Lineage: Bacteria; Bacillati; Bacillota; Negativicutes; Veillonellales; Veillonellaceae. The record is from RNAcentral.